GAUGAACGCUGGCGGCGCGCCUAACACAUGCAAGUCGAACGGCGCCUAUCUUCGGAUAGAAGCGAGUGGCGAACGGCUGAGUAACACGUGGAGAACCUGCCCCCUCCCCCGGGAUAGCCGCCCGAAAGGACGGGUAAUACCGGAUACCCCGGGGUGCCGCAUGGCACCCCGGCUAAAGCCCCGACGGGAGGGGAUGGCUCCGCGGCCCAUCAGGUAGACGGCGGGGUGACGGCCCACCGUGCCGACAACGGGUAGCCGGGUUGAGAGACCGACCGGCCAGAUUGGGACUGAGACACGGCCCAGACUCCUACGGGAGGCAGCAGUGGGGAAUCUUGCGCAAUGGGGGGAACCCUGACGCAGCGACGCCGCGUGCGGGACGGAGGCCUUCGGGUCGUAAACCGCUUUCAGCAGGGAAGAGUCAAGACUGUACCUGCAGAAGAAGCCCCGGCUAACUACGUGCCAGCAGCCGCGGUAAUACGUAGGGGGCGAGCGUUAUCCGGAUUCAUUGGGCGUAAAGCGCGCGUAGGCGGCCCGGCAGGCCGGGGGUCGAAGCGGGGGGCUCAACCCCCCGAAGCCCCCGGAACCUCCGCGGCUUGGGUCCGGUAGGGGAGGGUGGAACACCCGGUGUAGCGGUGGAAUGCGCAGAUAUCGGGUGGAACACCGGUGGCGAAGGCGGCCCUCUGGGCCGAGACCGACGCUGAGGCGCGAAAGCUGGGGGAGCGAACAGGAUUAGAUACCCUGGUAGUCCCAGCCGUAAACGAUGGACGCUAGGUGUGGGGGGACGAUCCCCCCGUGCCGCAGCCAACGCAUUAAGCGUCCCGCCUGGGGAGUACGGCCGCAAGGCUAAAACUCAAAGGAAUUGACGGGGGCCCGCACAAGCAGCGGAGCAUGUGGCUUAAUUCGAAGCAACGCGAAGAACCUUACCAGGGCUUGACAUAUGGGUGAAGCGGGGAGACCCCGUGGCCGAGAGGAGCCCAUACAGGUGGUGCAUGGCUGUCGUCAGCUCGUGUCGUGAGAUGUUGGGUUAAGUCCCGCAACGAGCGCAACCCCCGCCGCGUGUUGCCAUCGGGUGAUGCCGGGAACCCACGCGGGACCGCCGCCGUCAAGGCGGAGGAGGGCGGGGACGACGUCAAGUCAUCAUGCCCCUUAUGCCCUGGGCUGCACACGUGCUACAAUGGCCGGUACAGAGGGAUGCCACCCCGCGAGGGGGAGCGGAUCCCGGAAAGCCGGCCCCAGUUCGGAUUGGGGGCUGCAACCCGCCCCCAUGAAGUCGGAGUUGCUAGUAAUCGCGGAUCAGCAUGCCGCGGUGAAUGCGUUCCCGGGCCU
RNAcentral lists this ribosomal RNA (1326 nucleotides) under uncultured bacterium. RNAcentral's name for it is "bacterial SSU rRNA". It matches the Rfam family "Bacterial small subunit ribosomal RNA", at positions 28 to 1381 of the family's 1533-position model. The record is from RNAcentral.